Molecule: non-coding RNA, 169 nt
Organism: Maylandia zebra (zebra mbuna)
Lineage: Eukaryota; Metazoa; Chordata; Actinopteri; Cichliformes; Cichlidae
Source: RefSeq, a predicted model, not a curated record
CUGGUUCAUCUUUGAUCGCAACAGACGCACACUAUCCUACUACGCAGACAAGCACGAAGUCAAGUUGAAAGGAGUCAUUUACUUCCAAGCUAUUGAAGAAGUAUACUACGAUCACUUGAAGAAUGCACACAAGAGCCCAAACCCCUCCCUGACCUUCAGCGUGAAGACU